RNAcentral lists this long non-coding RNA (542 nucleotides) under Panax ginseng (ginseng). Its description in RNAcentral is "long non-coding RNA (PGIN_LNC012113)". The record is from RNAcentral. Lineage: Eukaryota; Viridiplantae; Streptophyta; Magnoliopsida; Apiales; Araliaceae.
UUGAUUCACUAAUAUAACUUCAACCAACGGUCUGAAAAAUUAGCACAUCUCCUCAUGGAAUAAUAUUGUACCCAAAUACCCGAAUGCACAAUACUAGAGUGAAUAGUAACCGGGUGAAUAGUAACUCGUGAAUAGUAACUCAUGAAUAGUAACUCGUGAAUAGUAACUCAUGAAUAGUAACUCGUGAAUAGUAACUCAUGAAUAGUAACUCAUGAAUAGUAACUCGUGAAUAGUAACUCAUGAAUAGUAACUCGUGAAUAGUACUCCGACACGAAAAGUUCCCCGAAUACCCGAUUGAACAAUAUAACCUCCAGACAUCAAUUAUCAUCGGAAUAGAUGUCGAUUUCUACUAACACAAAUAAUCCCAACACAAUGAAACUAUCAAAUUCAUCUUUAAUCAACACGAACUUAUUCAUCAUUAAUAUUAUAACUCACAAUAUUUAACAACCAGGUUGUUCCCAGGAAAGAGGGGGCUUUCCAAUAAGGAUUUCUCCCUAUUGGCGCGCAAUUAGGUGACCAAACCUCUCCUUGACAGAACUUCU